CCUACGGGUGGCAGCAGUGAGGAAUAUUGGUCAAUGGGCGGGAGCCUGAACCAGCCAAGUCGCGUGAGGGACGACGGUCCUAUGGAUUGUAAACCUCUUUUGUCGGGGAACAAAGGCGCCCACGGGUGGGCGGAUGAGUGUACCCGAAGAAAAAGCAUCGGCUAACUCCGUGCCAGCAGCCGCGGUAAUACGGAGGAUGCGAGCGUUAUCCGGAUUUAUUGGGUUUAAAGGGUGCGUAGGUGGUUAAUUAAGUCAGCGGUGAAAGUUUGUGGCUCAACCAUAAAAUUGCCGUUGAAACUGGUUGACUUGAGUAUAUUUGAGGUAGGCGGAAUGCGUGGUGUAGCGGUGAAAUGCAUAGAUAUCACGCAGAACUCCGAUUGCGAAGGCAGCUUACUAAACUAUAACUGACACUGAAGCACGAAAGCGUGGGGAUCAAACAGGAUUAGAUACCCUUGUAGUC
Molecule: ribosomal RNA, 460 nt
Filed under: uncultured bacterium
Lineage: Bacteria
Description: partial 16S ribosomal RNA
Rfam family: Bacterial small subunit ribosomal RNA
Source: RNAcentral